GGAUCCUACUAAACUGUUAGACGGAUAGCUUGGCUUAAAUAGCGAUGAAGGACGUGGCAAGUUGCGAAAAGCUCUGGCGAGUUGCAUGCAAACAUUGAACCAGAGAUCUCCUAAUGUGAAACACAAUUUAUUCCGAGAGGAAUGUCUACGCCGGGAAUUGAAACAUCUUAGUACCGGUAGGAAAAGAAAAUAAAUAAUGAUUCCCCUAUUAGCAGCGAGCGAAAAGGGAAUAGGGCAAACCGAAUCUUUAUUCGAAAGGAUGUAAGAGAUGUGGUGGAGAUUAAGACUAAGUCAACGAAUCAAAGUUUUCUGGAAAGGAAUACCUUAGAGGGUGAUAGUCCCGUAGAUGAAGUUGAUAUGUUAUACUCCAAAAGAGUAGAGCUUCCCGGAUUGGAAGUUCGAAUAUGGCAGAAUUAACUGCUAACCCUAAAUAUUAAUUUAAGUCCGAUAGCGUACGAGUACCGCGAGGGAAAGCUGAAAAGUACUCUCACCAGAGGGUUAAAAGACUUGAAAUCUAACAGUUACAAGAUUGUUACUGCCCUAAGGGGUUGUAACGUACGUUUGGGAAAACGGACCAGGGAGUUUAUUUUUGUGGCGAGGUUAACUGAAUGAAGCCGAAGCGAAAGCGAGUGUGAAAGCGCGUUAGUCACUGAUUUAAGACCUGAAGCCAGAUGAUCUAUUCCUGAGCAGGAUGAAGUUUUUCGAAAGAGAAAUGGAGGUCCGAACCGGUGUUGUGUACAUGCACUUGGAUGACUUGGGAUUAGGGGUGAAAAGCCACUCUAAUCUGGCGAUGGCUGGUUCCUGUUGAAAUAUGCACGGGUAUAGCCUUGUAUUGCUUGUUGAAGAGGUAUAGUACGGAUAGGUCCUGCAGAGACACAUGUCUACGGGGAGCUUUCCAACUCAGAAUUUUUCAACUGCUGAAUACAAGAAAUAGCUGUGGUAUGUAAGAUACUUCAGCGAAACCUGAACAAAGGAGACCGGAGUUAAGGUCCCAAAGUGUUUGCUAAGUGUAUCAAACAGGGUUUUUAUCCUGAGACAGUGGGGAUGUAGGUCUAGAAGCCGCCAUCAUUUAAAGAAAGCGUAACAGCUCACCCAUUGAGGAUAAGAGCAUGGAAGAUGGACGGGGCUAAAGCAAACCACCGAUACUCUGGGGGCACUCUGUAUAGAGUGUGCCGGUAAACAGGCGUUCUAUUUGCACAGAAGUUUUUUCGUAAGAAAGGAUGGAGCAGAUAGUAUUGAAAAUCCUGGUGACAGUAGGAUCUGAUCUCUUUGAGAAAGAAGAGAUGUCGAACGGGCAAGGUUUCCUUGGCACUAACAAUUAACCAAGGGUUAGUCGGUACCUAAGUCAUAUCUUAAUUGAGUAUGACGACGGACAGCAGGUUAAUAUUCCUGCACUGAUUAGUUUUGUUAUGCAUAUAAAUAGCUUUAGGAUAAGCAAAAUAUCGAGAGAUAUAGCAAGAAGAAAGAAAUGGAUUGUAAUGAAGAGAAGUUUAAGAAUUCUUGUGUAUUUGUUGACUCCAGGAGUCAGUGAAAAGUUUAUAUGAUAGAAAUUAGUUAGCCGUACCGAGAUCUAGCACUGGUGCCCUAGCUGAGAAGGCUAAGACAUGAAAGACUAAACUAGUUAAGGGAAUUCGGCAUAAAUAGUCCCGUAUCUUCGGUAGAAGGGAUGUCUAUUUUUUUGUAUGAUUCAUUAUAUGGAAAAGUAGAUCUCAGUAACAAGGAUGGCCCGACUGUUUACCAAAAACAUAGCCAAGUGCUAAUCCGAAAGGAUGUGUAUACUUGGUGAAACCUGCCCAGUGGUGGUGUCUAAAUCUCUCUUUCAAGGGAGUGAAAGCCCAUCAAACGGCGGGCGUAACUAUGACGCUCUUAAGGUAGCGUAAUGCCUUGUCUUCUGAAUGGAGACGUGCAUGAAUGGUUUAACGAGGUUGUCACUGUCCCUAACUAGAGUCUUCCGAAACCAUUCACCGGUGUACAGACCGGUAUCACCUAGUGGGAAGCGCAGACCUUGUAGACCUUUACUGCAACCUGUUGUUGUGAUUUUAUUAAAAGUGCUUAGAGUAGGUAGGAGCGUCGAAGUUAAACUCUUGGGUUUAAUGGAGCAAAAGUGUAACACUACCCAUUUUUGAUAAAACCACUCACUUUAUGAGGACAGCAAUUGGCAGGCAGUUUGGCUGGGGCGGCGCCCGGUCGAAAAAGUAUCGAUCGGGCCCAAAGACAAGCUCAUCCAGGUCGGAAAUCUGGAGUAGAGUGUAAGGGCAAAAGCUUGUCUGACUGUUUUCUGAACAGCAAAGAAAGCAGGAGUGAAAGCUGGGCUUAGCGAACUUCCAUAGCUUUUUAAUGGGGCUUGGAAACGACAGAAAAGGUACCUCAAGGAUAAUGGGCUCGUCGCGCCUGAUAGUCCACAUUGACGGCGCGGUUUGGUGCGUCGCUGUCGGCUCUCCCUAUCCCGGUUGUGCAGCAGCAACCAAGGGUGUCGGAGUUCACGCAUUAAAAGGGAUCGUUAGCUGGGUUAAGAACGUCGCGAGACAGUUUGUAUGAUAUCUACUAGGUGUGUUAUUGUCUGAGCGGAACAGUUCUCUAGUACGAGAGGAACGGGAAUUGGGUGCCUCUGGUCUAUCGGUUGUCAUGUGGCAGGCCGAGCAGCUACGCACCAUUUCGAUAAAUGCUGAAAGCAUCUAAGCAUGAAGCGAAUCGCAAAACGAGACAAUUAAGGCCGUCAUAGAAGAUGACGUCGAUAGAGGUGUGGUGUACGCAUGAAGCUUCGGCGACAUGUUCAGCCAGCAUCUACUAAAAGCCUCAAAUAUCCACACUA
Molecule: ribosomal RNA, 2812 nt
Filed under: Candidatus Psychracetigena formicireducens
Lineage: Bacteria; Bacillati; Candidatus Lithacetigenota
Description: 23S ribosomal RNA
Rfam family: Archaeal large subunit ribosomal RNA
Source: RNAcentral